CUACAAAUGAAUUGAGGGACCCGCACAAGCAGCGGAGCGUGUGGUUUAAUUCGUUGCUACACGAAGAACCUUACCUGGGUUUGACAUAUAGGUUGUAGGGAACUGAAAAGGGACCGACCCUUCGGGGAGCCUAUACAGGUGUUGCAUGGCUGUCGUCAGCUCGUGUCGUGAGAUGUUCGGUUAAGUCCGCUAACGAGCGCAACCCUCGUCGUAUGUUAUAUGUGUCAUACGAGACUGCCGGUAAAAGCCGGAGGAAGGUGAGGAUGAUGUCAAGUCAGCAUGACCUUUAUAUCCAGGGCUACACACACGCUACAAUGGUCUGUACAAUGGGUAGCCAAGCCGCGAGGCGGAGCCAAUCCUGAAAGCAGGCCUCAGUUCAGAUUGCAGUCUGCAACUCGACUGCAUGAAGCCGGAGUUGCUAGUAACCGCAGGUCAGCAAUACUGCGGUGAAUACGUUCCCGGGUCUU
This 467-nucleotide ribosomal RNA is filed under the name uncultured Anaerolineaceae bacterium. Its description in RNAcentral is "bacterial SSU rRNA". It matches the Rfam family "Bacterial small subunit ribosomal RNA", at positions 903 to 1382 of the family's 1533-position model. Lineage: Bacteria; Bacillati; Chloroflexota; Anaerolineae; Anaerolineales; Anaerolineaceae. The record is from RNAcentral.